GUAGGUGGCAAACGUUGUCCGGAAUUAUUGGGCGUAAAGCGCGCGCAGGCGGUCCUUUAAGUCUGAUGUGAAAGCCCACGGCUCAACCGUGGAGGGUCAUUGGAAACUGGGGGACUUGAGUACAGAAGAGGAAAGCGGAAUUCCAAGUGUAGCGGUGAAAUGCGUAGAGAUUUGGAGGAACACCAGUGGCGAAGGCGGCUUUCUGGUCUGUAACUGACGCUGAGGCGCGAAAGCGUGGGGAGCAAACAGGAUUAGAUACCCUGGUAGUCCACGCCGUAAACGAUGAGUGCUAAGUGUUAGGGGGUUUCCCGCCCCCCUUAGUGCUGCAGCUAACGCAUUAAGCACUCCGCCUGGGGAGUACGGCCGCAAGGCUG
RNAcentral lists this ribosomal RNA (374 nucleotides) under uncultured organism. RNAcentral's name for it is "partial 16S ribosomal RNA". It matches the Rfam family "Bacterial small subunit ribosomal RNA", at positions 527 to 896 of the family's 1533-position model. The record is from RNAcentral.